AACUACACAGGGUGCGAACACCAAGCCAGGAUCACCAGGACUAUCUUGGAGGCUGACUACCACGAUCCCUUCUCUUUCUUUUUCUUCCAGUUUUAUUGAGGUUUGAUCUCAGUUACUCCCUUACUUGAAGAAGGCUUCGAUGAUUCCUCAUGGAGAAAUCCCAGAUACUUCUGCACAUGAUUCAGAGGUCCCUUACAACUGGCUUCAGCCUGCCUUCCAAGCCCUGUCUCUCGCCUCUCCCUUCCUUCACACUGUGCUUCAGCGAGAUGCUGUGUUUUUUGCAAAUGGACGGUUUGGGCAACUCUUUGUGGAGCAAGUCUAUCGGUGCCAUUUUCCCAACAACAUGGAUUCACUUCAUGUCUCUGAGUCACAUUUUGGCUGGAGUGUGGUGGCGUGAUCUUGGUUCACUGCAACCU
This 416-nucleotide long non-coding RNA is filed under the name Homo sapiens (human). RNAcentral's name for it is "HSALNT0307170". Lineage: Eukaryota; Metazoa; Chordata; Mammalia; Primates; Hominidae. The record is from RNAcentral.